UUUACGAGGGGUUGUUACUGCUCCCUUGUGGCGCAGACGCUGGGAAGGAGGUUUCUCUCUUUCCCGAUCUCCUACUGAUCAGUGCCGAUGGUUCUGUACCUUGUUGCAGUCUCCGAUAUCUGUGCUCGUUCCUCACGCUUGGACUCCAGUCCAAGAGUAGCGUCACAUAGAUGCUGCGGACCUGGAGAAAAGCACCCCAGGAGGUGUGGAAGAGAUAGAAGAUUCCAAGGCCCCGCGGAAGCGCUCGCCACCGAGCUGCAUGGAGUGCUUUGAAAGGGGAGUAGUGGUGGCAUCGUGUGGCGGAAGAAACAGCACGGGAGAAAGAGGGUUGGAGGGUCUUGCGUCUUCCCUGAUUGUUUCUAGGCUGGAGUCAGUCGAGAGUAAUCACUGGUGUGUGGACUGGAGCAGAGCUGAGAUUUACUAAAGAGCGAAUAGUAUUCAUUCUCCCUGCUCAAUUAGUGUGAAAGAAAAGUUUUUAAAGCUCCCAAACGUUGUCGGCUUGGUGGUACACGCCAGUAAGCCCAGCCCUUGGGAGAUUGAGGCAAGAGAAACACCGUGAGUUUGAGGCCAGCCUGAAUUACGUGAGUUCAAGGCCAACCUGGACUGCAUGGGGAGACCCUGUCUCAAAAAGAAAAAAAAAAGCCGCCCGACAUCAAAAGGGAAUUUAUCCUUUAUCAAAUAUAGAAGACUACAGUGUGGCCCAGGACUUAAGACUGUGAGCCACGACUUGGGGUUAGGGACCAGCUUCUAGGUUUCCUGCAUUCCUUGGCUGUGACCCUCUUUCGUGUCUUCAGAACCAGCAAUGAAAGAUCAAUUCCUUCUUGUGUACAUCUUUCUAAACCUUUUGGCAAAAGCAGGGAAAAAUUCUCCACUAGUAAUUACUUGUGUGAUUACUUUAGGCUCAUUUGGGUAAUCCAGGGUAAUUGCUCCAUCUUAAUGCCAUAUUUAAUGACAUCUGCACAGUCAUUUUGUAACCCUUUAGUUAUAUAUACACUUUAUGCUGUUAUAGUUGUCAAAAAUAGAUCUAUGAAGAGAUAAGAUUACCUUGUCAUCUAAGAGAAUCAUAUUUCUUUAUGAAAAAUUCAAUCCCUUUGAAGGAGGUGAAUAAAGUAUAAAUCUAAAUAUAA
Molecule: non-coding RNA, 1127 nt
Organism: Heterocephalus glaber (naked mole-rat)
Lineage: Eukaryota; Metazoa; Chordata; Mammalia; Rodentia; Bathyergidae
Source: RefSeq, a predicted model, not a curated record